This 1203-nucleotide ribosomal RNA is filed under the name Fictibacillus sp. RNAcentral describes it as "bacterial SSU rRNA". It matches the Rfam family "Bacterial small subunit ribosomal RNA", at positions 31 to 1238 of the family's 1533-position model. The record is from RNAcentral. Lineage: Bacteria; Bacillati; Bacillota; Bacilli; Caryophanales; Fictibacillaceae.
UUUUUUUGGCGGGGGUGCUAUACAUGCAAGUCGAGCGAAUGAUGAGGAGCUUGCUCCUCUGAUUUAGCGGCGGACGGGUGAGUAACACGUGGGUAAUCUGCCUGUAAGACGGGGAUAACUCCGGGAAACCGGGGCUAAUACCGGAUAAUAAGAGAAGAAGCAUUUCUUCUUUUUGAAAGUCGGUUUCGGCUGACACUUACAGAUGAGCCCGCGGCGCAUUAGCUAGUUGGUGAGGUAACGGCUCACCAAGGCGACGAUGCGUAGCCGACCUGAGAGGGUGAUCGGCCACACUGGGACUGAGACACGGCCCAGACUCCUACGGGAGGCAGCAGUAGGGAAUCUUCGGCAAUGGGCGAAAGCCUGACCGAGCAACGCCGCGUGAGCGAUGAAGGCCUUCGGGUCGUAAAGCUCUGUUGUUAGAGAAGAACAAGUACGAGAGUAACUGCUCGUACCUUGACGGUACCUAACCAGAAAGCCACGGCUAACUACGUGCCAGCAGCCGCGGUAAUACGUAGGUGGCAAGCGUUAUCCGGAAUUAUUGGGCGUAAAGCGCGCGCAGGCGGUCUCUUAAGUCUGAUGUGAAAGCCCACGGCUCAACCGUGGAGGGUCAUUGGAAACUGGGAGACUUGAGUGCAGGAGAGAAAAGUGGAAUUCCACGUGUAGCGGUGAAAUGCGUAGAGAUGUGGAGGAACACCAGUGGCGAAGGCGGCUUUUUGGCCUGUAACUGACGCUGAGGCGCGAAAGCGUGGGGAGCAAACAGGAUUAGAUACCCUGGUAGUCCACGCCGUAAACGAUGAGUGCUAGGUGUUGGGGGGUUCCACCCUCAGUGCUGAAGUUAACACAUUAAGCACUCCGCCUGGGGAGUACGACCGCAAGGUUGAAACUCAAAGGAAUUGACGGGGGCCCGCACAAGCAGUGGAGCAUGUGGUUUAAUUCGAAGCAACGCGAAGAACCUUACCAGGUCUUGACAUCCUCUGAUCACUCUAGAGAUAGAGCUUUCCCCUUCGGGGGACAGAGUGACAGGUGGUGCAUGGUUGUCGUCAGCUCGUGUCGUGAGAUGUUGGGUUAAGUCCCGCACGAGCGCACCCUGACUAGUGCCAGCAUCAGUGGCACUCUAGUGACUGCGUGACAAACGGAAGGAGUGGAUGACGUCAAUCAUCAUGCCUAUGACCUGGGCUACCACACGUGCCUACAAUGGAAUGG